GAACAAUGGAAUGGAUGUGAUACACCAUGGCAACCCGACAUGACCCAGAAGAACCAGGAGGAGCCUCAAGCUUCAGUGGACCUGGAGAAACUGUCAGGUUCCCUCCUGCAGAACCUCCACCUAAAACUAUGACCAGGGCCCAGCUCGGCUCUGCAAGGACCCAGCCCCGCUUCCAGGCCUGACCAAGUGCUGCUGGUUAGGAAAGAAGAGAAGAGAAGAUGCGGGGCACCGCCCCCACCAAGAAGCCCUCCACGGGGGAAGGCUGACUACGGCCGCAAUUGGGAUCUCAGCUCUCCGCCCUCUGCCCCCCUUCUUCCACCCACCUCCCGCCUUUCCCGCCUGGUGCCGCUGGCAGAACGGGAACUGUGACUCAAGAGUCUGGAAGACAAGGGGCCUGCCCCCCCUUCCCUCCCCCUUCCCUCCCCCGUCCCUCCCUCCACAUCCGGGCAGGCGUCUGGGCGGGUGGCCGGGCAGGAGCCAGCCUUGGCUGCCACCGAGGACCCUCCCACCUGACGUUCAUCUGGGCUCCGGCCAAGGGCAUCCUCCCGGCGGGGCAGACGCUCCACGUGGAUUCCUACUGGCGGCGGCAGGAACAAGAGCGGCCGCCCCAACCAUGAGACCCUGCCCGCCGCGUGCAGGGACUGUCCCC
RNAcentral lists this long non-coding RNA (649 nucleotides) under Vulpes vulpes (red fox). RNAcentral describes it as "lncRNA (ENSVVUG00000022414.1)". The record is from RNAcentral. Lineage: Eukaryota; Metazoa; Chordata; Mammalia; Carnivora; Canidae.